AGAAAGGGUGGCAAUACCUCUU
Molecule: microRNA, 22 nt
Filed under: Homo sapiens (human)
Lineage: Eukaryota; Metazoa; Chordata; Mammalia; Primates; Hominidae
Description: hsa-miR-5681a
Source: miRBase by way of RNAcentral